CGGAUGUAGCUCAGUUGGUAGAGCAUCACCUUGCCAAGGUGAGGGUCGCGGGUUCGAGUCUCGUCAUCCG
Molecule: transfer RNA, 70 nt
Filed under: human gut metagenome
Also listed under: 1 other name
Rfam family: tRNA
About the family: Transfer RNA (tRNA) molecules are approximately 80 nucleotides in length. Their secondary structure includes four short double-helical elements and three loops (D, anti-codon, and T loops).
Source: RNAcentral